RNAcentral lists this small nuclear RNA (187 nucleotides) under Myotis lucifugus (little brown bat). RNAcentral's name for it is "U1 spliceosomal RNA (ENSMLUG00000028485.1)". It matches the Rfam family "U1 spliceosomal RNA". From Rfam's summary of the family: U1 is a small nuclear RNA (snRNA) component of the spliceosome (involved in pre-mRNA splicing). Its 5' end forms complementary base pairs with the 5' splice junction, thus defining the 5' donor site of an intron. There are significant differences in sequence and secondary structure between metazoan and yeast U1 snRNAs, the latter being much longer (568 nucleotides as compared to 164 nucleotides in human). The record is from RNAcentral. Lineage: Eukaryota; Metazoa; Chordata; Mammalia; Chiroptera; Vespertilionidae.
AUACUGACCUGGCAGGGGAGAUACCAUGAUUACGAAGGUGGUUUUCCCAGGGUGAGGUUUAUCCAUUGCACUCCAGAUGUGCUGACUCCUGUGAUCCCCUCCCCACAAAAAAAUUAAUAAUAAAAUUAGAUUAGAUGUCCAUGACAACUUAUUGCUAGUAUGGAGCAAGGUUUAGAAUCAAUUCUGA